GCCAGUGUGCCAUAGUGGUUUAGUUGUUGGACUGUUACUCUAGGAACCAGGGUUCGAUUUCCAGCUCAGCCA
Non-coding RNA from Phrynosoma platyrhinos (Desert horned lizard), 72 nucleotides. NCBI's taxonomy places the organism in Eukaryota, Metazoa, Chordata, Lepidosauria, Squamata, Phrynosomatidae. The record is from the annotation of a GenBank genome assembly.